Long non-coding RNA from Gossypium raimondii (Peruvian cotton), 1260 nucleotides. RefSeq lists it as uncharacterized. The record is from RefSeq and is a predicted model, not a curated record. Lineage: Eukaryota; Viridiplantae; Streptophyta; Magnoliopsida; Malvales; Malvaceae. The transcript has 4 exons.
AGUUCAUGAUUGGGUAAAUGUACUAAAGACUCAUUGGAAAGAAUUGGGUGCAACUCUAAUGUGUGAUGGUUGGACCAACAGUUUGAAUCAAAUGCACAUCAUUAAUUUCCUUGUUUAUUGCAGUAAAGGAACCAUUUUUUGGAAAUCGGUAGAUGUCUCAAGUGUCCGUAGUAGAGAUGUUGAAUUCUACUACCGUUUGUUAGAUUCAGUUGUAGAAGAAAUUGGAGAAAAUUACAUUGUCCAAAUAGUGACUGAUAAUGAGGCAGCAAUGAAAGCUGCUGGAAAAAAGUUAAUGUUGAAAAGACAACAUCUAUAUUGGACCUCAUGUGCAGCUCACUGUUUAGAUUUAUGCCUUGAAGAUAUUGGGAAAAAGCCCAGUGUAGCAAAAGUGUUAGGUGAGGCAAAGAAAGUGACUUGCUUUAUAUACAAUCACAUUUGGACUGUUGAUUUGAUGAAGAAGUAUACACAAGGGAAACAAAUACUUCGACCCGCUCUUACUCGAUUUGCAACUCAUUUCAUUCAACUUGAAGAGAUAACAAGACAAAAGCAAGGUUUGAGAGAAAUGUUUAAUUCAAAGGAAUUUAAAGAAUCAAAAUGGGGAAAGCAAAAGUCAGGGCCUGCUUAUGAAGCCAAAAAAAUUGUUUUGGGAAAAGAUUUUUGGAAAAAAGCCAAUGACCUCAUAAAAGUUUAUGAGCCCUUAGUAAGAGUAUUGAGACUUGUGGAUAGCGAUGAAAUACCAACGAUGGGCUUUAUUUAUGAGGCUGUUGAUAGGGCUAAACAAGCAAUUCAACAAAAUUGUCGAUAUUUCACAGAGUAUGAAAAGAUUAUUGACAAUAGAUGGAAUUUUAUGCAUUCCGACUUGCAUUCAGCUGGUAAGAUAAAAUAUUUCAUAUAAUUAAGAACUAUUUUUAUAUUUUAUUAUUUUAAGCUUUAGAUUAUUAUUAUUUGAUGAUAUUCUUAUAAAUUAUACUUAGGUUAUUUUCUCAACCCUCAAUUUCAAUUUGGGGUGGAGCAUUCUGAGAAUGUAUUAAUAGAAACAUUAGAAGGUACACGAUCAGUAAUUGAAAGAUUAGAACCUUCUAUGGAUACUCAAGUCAGAAUGGUUAAUCAGUUGUUAUUAUUUAGAGAUAAACAUGAGACAUUCGGUACUCCACAAGCACAAAGAGCUUGGAAGCAAAUGAAUCCGGCUGAGUGGUGGAUGAUAUAUGGCACAUGUGUUCCCGAAUUACAAAAAUUAGCAAUUAAAGUGCUUAGUCAAAC